AGGAGAGCUUGCUCUCGCUGACGACCGCCGUACGGGUGCGUAACGCGUAUGUAACUUACCCCUAACAGGAGAAUAGCUUUCGGAAACGGAAAUUAAUACUCCAUAAUAUUCUUUCAUCACAUGGUGGUAGAAUUAAAGCUCCGGCGGUUAGGGAUAGGCAUGCGUCCUAUUAGUUAGUUGGUAAGGUAACGGCUUACCAAGGCAGCGAUAGGUAGGGGUUCUGAGAGGAUGGCCCCCCACACUGGUACUGAGACACGGACCAGACUCCUACGGGAGGCAGCAGUGAGGAAUAUUGGUCAAUGGACGCAAGUCUGAACCAGCCAUGCCGCGUGAAGGAUUGAAUGCCUUAUGGGUUGUAAACUUCUUUUAUAUGCCAAGAAACCCCCGCACGUGUGCGGGGCUGACGGUAGCAUAUGAAUAAGCACCGGCUAACUCCGUGCCAGCAGCCGCGGUAAUACGGAGGGUGCAAGCGUUAUCCGGAUUUAUUGGGUUUAAAGGGUACGUAGGCGGGUUAUUAAGUCAGUGGUGAAAGCCUGCAGCUCAACUGUAGAACUGCCAUAGAUACUGAUAACCUUGAGUGUAGUUGAAGUAGACGGAAUAUGACAUGUAGCGGUGAAAUGCAUAGAUAUGUCAUAGAACACCAAUAGUGAAAACAGUUUACUAAGCUAUUACUGACGCUGA
RNAcentral lists this ribosomal RNA (681 nucleotides) under uncultured bacterium. RNAcentral's name for it is "bacterial SSU rRNA". It matches the Rfam family "Bacterial small subunit ribosomal RNA", at positions 72 to 749 of the family's 1533-position model. The record is from RNAcentral.